UUCUUUUGGAAGCAUUUAAAGGAACAUUAUGGUGUGGAACGGCAGCCAAUUUGGGAUAAAAUUAAAGAUAUUGUAAUCAAGUCCAUAAUAAGCGGGGAAGAAUUCAUGCAAGCAGGUACGACUUCUUACGUAAAGAACAGACACAGCGUCUUCGAACUUUUUGGAUACGAUUUCUUCAUUGAUGACAAUAUGGAGCCAUGGCUUAUGGAAGUGAACGUUUUGCCAAGAAUAACAAAAGAAGGCCUAAAAGAAGUGCACCAUCCUCUGUUAGUGGAUAUGUUGAACCUGGUUGGUCUUCAGAUACCAGACGACGACGGGGACAAGCCACAAGGAGAAAGG
This is a long non-coding RNA of Lingula anatina, 339 nucleotides long. NCBI's taxonomy places the organism in Eukaryota, Metazoa, Brachiopoda, Lingulata, Lingulida, Lingulidae. The record is from RefSeq and is a predicted model, not a curated record.